This 353-nucleotide transfer-messenger RNA is filed under the name Candidatus Cloacimonadota bacterium. It matches the Rfam family "transfer-messenger RNA". From Rfam's summary of the family: Bacterial tmRNA, also known as 10Sa RNA or SsrA, is named for its dual tRNA and mRNA-like properties. Lineage: Bacteria; Pseudomonadati; Candidatus Cloacimonadota. RNAcentral also lists the same sequence under 2 other names. The record is from RNAcentral.
GGGGGUGACUGGUUUCGACAGGGACUGCAGAGGCAGGAAUAGCAUUUCGGGCAGAUUACCUAUCCCGUUAAACUUGGUGAUGCUAAAUUGAAAUGCAGAUGAAAAUCUUGCACUAGCUGCAUAACUAAUGUAGCUCAUCUGUCAAGUCGGUGCCAUUGACGAUUUUUCAGAUGCCGUUUUCAAUGGCUUAGAUGCUGCUAUGUCUAUGUGCAGUGUUGAAGUUUAAUAGACUUGAUCUCUGAGAGACUUGUACAUUGUUCUUGAUGAGAUGACCAAAUUACGAUGUACUAAGAAUGUAGAAUUUCCUGCAGCUAAAUCUCUGGACGCGGGUUCGACUCCCGCCACCUCCACCA